UGGAAUGAGAACCACACUUACACUACGGAGCUUGUCGAACGCACCUGGACGUCAGCCGAGUGCAAGGUGCAGGGUCUACUCCGAGGGCAAGGCGCCAUGGCUCGCUGCACCACUAAAUGCAGCAGCAAUCGUCCACGUACUAUCUUGUGUGGAUUCUGUGCUCCGUAUCGCCUCCUACCAGGCCUUUUUAGCUCUUCAUCAGAAGCCCUGUGCAGGUUGGCUCAGGCUUCUUA
Zea mays is the source of this 233-nucleotide long non-coding RNA. RefSeq lists it as uncharacterized. The record is from RefSeq and is a predicted model, not a curated record. Lineage: Eukaryota; Viridiplantae; Streptophyta; Magnoliopsida; Poales; Poaceae. The transcript has 3 exons.